This is a small nuclear RNA of Molossus molossus (Pallas's mastiff bat), 109 nucleotides long. The record is from RefSeq and is a predicted model, not a curated record. Lineage: Eukaryota; Metazoa; Chordata; Mammalia; Chiroptera; Molossidae.
GUGCCCACUUAAGCGGCACAUAUACUAAAAUUGGAAUAAUACACAGAUCCAAUUAGCAUGACCCCUGUGCAAGGGUGACAUGCAAAUUUGUGAAGCAUUCCAUAUUUUU